AUACGUAGGGGACAAGCGUUGUCCGGAAUCACUGGGCGUAAAGGGUGCGUAGGCGGUUUGCUAAGCGGGAGGUGAAAUGCCGGCGCUCAACGUCGGAAGUGCCUCCCGAACUGGUGGACUUGAAUGACUCUGCCGUGGGAGGAAUGUGUAGUGUAGCGGUGAAAUGCUUAGAGAUUACACAGAACACCGAUUGCGAAGGCAUCUCACGAAGGGUUGAUUGACGCUGAGGCACGAAAGCGUGGGGAUCAAACAGGAUUAGAUACCCUGGUAGUCCACGCAGUAAACGAUGAUGGCUAACCGCUGGGCUUAUCAGUUCAGUGGCCAAGCGAAAGCGAUAAGCCAUCCACCUGGGGAGUACGGCCGCAAGGUUGAAACUCAAAGGAAGUGACGGG
This 392-nucleotide ribosomal RNA is filed under the name uncultured bacterium. Its description in RNAcentral is "partial 16S ribosomal RNA". It matches the Rfam family "Bacterial small subunit ribosomal RNA", at positions 523 to 917 of the family's 1533-position model. The record is from RNAcentral.